GGCGGCGUAGUUCCGUUGGUUAGAGCAUUGGAAUCAGAAUCCAAAGGUCCUGGGUUCAAAUCCCUCUGCCGCUACCA
Molecule: transfer RNA, 77 nt
Filed under: Alphaproteobacteria bacterium
Lineage: Bacteria; Pseudomonadati; Pseudomonadota; Alphaproteobacteria
Description: tRNA-Leu
Rfam family: tRNA
About the family: Transfer RNA (tRNA) molecules are approximately 80 nucleotides in length.
Source: RNAcentral